This is a long non-coding RNA of Silurus meridionalis, 480 nucleotides long. RefSeq lists it as uncharacterized. The transcript has 3 exons. The record is from RefSeq and is a predicted model, not a curated record. NCBI's taxonomy places the organism in Eukaryota, Metazoa, Chordata, Actinopteri, Siluriformes, Siluridae.
UAAUGCAGUGAUUGGUAGAAUAAUCCUAUAGGCGGUCCUUAAUGCCUGUUGCUGAUGCCGGAAAGUUCUGGAAUUGCCAUUUUAAACUUGAUUUAAACUGCUAUACCUGUACGUUUACCUCUGGAAAAUAAGACAUUCAGGAUGGAUACCAAUAUAAACAUCCCUAUUACCACCACUAAUGUAACCCCUGCAAUGCCUUGCUCAUGCAAUGAAAAGCACUAUUGUCUACCCCUUUCCUUGCAAGUUCCACUAUUCUGUGAAGGUUUUUUUCCCAAAUCCUGGAACAUGCCUGUGGCCAUUUACUUUUUUUCCACAAGAACAUUAUUGAGUACAGACACUGAUGUUGGACGAUAAGGCCAAGCUCAUUGUUGGCCUUUAAAGAGUGAUCGGAGGGUGCAUAAAAGGAGGAGAGCAUGUGUGUGGGUGUGCCAGAGACGUGCAUAUACUAGAAUUAAACUCCCAAAUAAAAGUUACUGUGAA